This 275-nucleotide ribosomal RNA is filed under the name uncultured bacterium. RNAcentral describes it as "partial 16S ribosomal RNA". It matches the Rfam family "Bacterial small subunit ribosomal RNA", at positions 338 to 605 of the family's 1533-position model. The record is from RNAcentral.
CCUACGGGCGGCUGCAGUGGGGAAUAUUGGACAAUGGGCGAAAGCCUGAUCCAGCCAUGCCGCGUGUGUGAAGAAGGUCUUCGGAUUGUAAAGCACUUUAAGUUGGGAGGAAGGGCUUCUGGCUAAUAUCCAGGAGUUUUGACGUUACCAACAGAAUAAGCACCGGCUAACUUCGUGCCAGCAGCCGCGGUAAUACGAAGGGUGCAAGCGUUAAUCGGAAUUACUGGGCGUAAAGCGCGCGUAGGUGGUUCAGCAAGUUGAAGGUGAAAUCCCCG